RNAcentral lists this ribosomal RNA (1401 nucleotides) under Triticum aestivum (bread wheat). RNAcentral describes it as "partial small subunit ribosomal RNA". The record is from RNAcentral. Lineage: Eukaryota; Viridiplantae; Streptophyta; Magnoliopsida; Poales; Poaceae.
AUGGCGGCGUCCAAGCCUUGCGUCCUCGUCGUGCCCUUCCCCGCGCAGGGCCACACGGUGGCGCUCCUCGACCUGGCGGCCCUGCUGGCCGCGCGCGGGCUCCGCCUCACCGUCGUCACCACACCCGCCAAUGCCUACCUGCUCUCGCCUCUCCUCGCCGCUCACCCCGACAUGGUCCGGCCCCUCACGCUCCCCUUCCCCUCCCACCCUUCUCUCCCCGCGGGCCUCGAGAGCUUCCAGGACUGCCCUCCCACCUACGCCGCCGUCUUCGUCCACGCUCUCGCCGCCCUCCACCACCCCAUCCUCGCGUGGGCCAAGUCGCACCCCGUCGCCGCCAUCCUGUCCGAUUUCUUCUGCGGGUGGACGCAGCCUCUCGCUGCCGAGCUUGGCGUCCCGAGGCUGGUCUUCACGCCUUCCGGCGUCCUCGGCACCGCCGUCCCGCAUUCGCUCUUCCGCCGACUCGUCAAGCAGCGACCGUCAGACGCCGACCACGUCGUUGCCUUCCCGGAUAUUCCUGGCGAGCCGGUGUAUCAGUGGAAGGAGCUCUCCAUCAUGUACAGGAUGUACGCCGAAGGCCUCGUGGAUGAAGAGUUCGGCGGGGCAGUGAGGCGGAACUAUCUCUGGAACCUCGAGAGCUGGGGAUUCGUGUCCAACACGUUCCGUGCCCUCGAGGGGAGGUACCUGGACACGCCGCUCGGUGACCUGGGGUCAAGGCGCGUGUGGGCGGUGGGACCGGUCGCGUCGGAGGCAGACGCCGCCGGCCAGCGCGGCGGGGAGGCGGCCGUCGCGGCCGGCGAUCUCAGCGCGUAGCUGGACGUGUUCCCGGAAGGUUCAGUCCUGUACGUGAGCUUCGGCAGCCUGGUGGUGCUGACCCAGCCAGCGGCCGCGGCGCUGGCCGAAGCGCUGGAGCGGAGCACCGUCCCGUUCGUGUGGGUGGUGGGCGCCGGGAACGACGGCGGCUUGGUCCCACAAGGUUUCGAGGCGCGCGUGGCGGCGGCGGGGCGCGGGGUGGUAGUUCACGGGUGGGCGCCCCAGGUGGCGACGCUGCGGCACGCGGCGGUGGGGUGGUUCAUGACGCACUGCGGGUGGAACUCGGUGCUGGAGGCGGUGGCUGCGGGGGUGCCCAUGCUGGCGUGGCCGAUGACGGCCGACCAGUUCGUGAACGCGCGGCUGCUCGUGGAGGAAGCGGGCGUCGCCGUGCGCGCGUGCGCGGGCGGGAUCGGCGUCUGCCCGGACGCGGGCGAGCUCGCGGCCGUACUGGCGGACGCUGCCGGGGAGGGAGGGCGCGAAGUGCGCGCACGUGCCAAGGAGCUGGCGGCGCAAGCGGCGGCCGCGGUGAUGGAAGGUGAGAGCUCGCGCCUGGACUUGGAGCGGUUGGUUCAAGAGAUUCCGAAGCUUUGA